This 231-nucleotide long non-coding RNA is filed under the name Nicotiana benthamiana. Its description in RNAcentral is "long non-coding RNA (NBEN_LNC035249)". Lineage: Eukaryota; Viridiplantae; Streptophyta; Magnoliopsida; Solanales; Solanaceae. The record is from RNAcentral.
GCCCUUAGAUUUGUUCCCUUCGGUUUGGGUGAGUUCACUGCCGCCUUCCAUACUCCCUUUGAUGUUCCAACGAACCUGACGCUCUGAUACCAAUUGUGACGAGACUGUAGCUCAAACACGACGAUCUGUCCAGCCUAGCGAACUUUCAAUGCCAAAGUUAGCUAGUCAGCCUACCCGGAAGCUUAGUAGAACUUAAGAAAGACUAAGCUUGUAGAAACUUGGCGAAGNNNN